This is a long non-coding RNA of Erpetoichthys calabaricus (reedfish), 257 nucleotides long. RefSeq lists it as uncharacterized. The record is from RefSeq and is a predicted model, not a curated record. NCBI's taxonomy places the organism in Eukaryota, Metazoa, Chordata, Cladistia, Polypteriformes, Polypteridae. The transcript has 3 exons.
GCUUGCAAACUGAAACUGCUGCUCAAUUACAGGAAAAAAUUGGGAAAGGCAAAAUAUUCAUAAUUCCUCACCGUGACAUACCACUACCGAUUCAGAUGGAGCAGAUACACACGGCACAAGAAGAAUCAGAAUUUAGACCAGAAAUUCCAGGUCAAGUGCAUGCAGAAACAAGUUAUCAGGGAGCGCAGGCAACAUUGUCACAGGAGCCACAUGUAGAUAGGCUGGAAAACACAAGAGAACCUCAAGCAGAAGUAGAU